Molecule: long non-coding RNA, 1766 nt
Organism: Apis cerana (Asiatic honeybee)
Lineage: Eukaryota; Metazoa; Arthropoda; Insecta; Hymenoptera; Apidae
Source: RefSeq, a predicted model, not a curated record
UUGAAGGAUUUUUUUUUUUGGGAGGGGAUAAUUAAGAUAUCGUUCUUUCCGCUUUAUAUUUUGUACACGUGAGAAAGAAUUCGUAUAUUUUGAUGAUACGUUGAGAGAGAUUAAUAAGAGAUGGAAGAGAAAUUAUACUUCAAUCUUGGCGAUGUUGAGAAGGGGAUUUUACUUGCGUAACGAUUAGCAGAAAUUUUCUUAAAUUUAUUUGGAUUAUAAUCUUAGAGUUGAUGUGCGAAUAUGUUGCGUAAUAUUACUCAUAAAUGGUGCACAGUGAAGAAUGAUAAUCUCGAUACUUGAUUUUUUAAUAUAAUAUGAUUCGUCGAAAAGCGAUCGAUUCUUUAAUCGUGCUAGAAGAGAGUUCAAAAAUAUCAUAUGUUUAACGAGGAUUCCUGUUUAAUUUCGCGAAAUCUUUAAUCCAAUCUCGACGAUAUCCCACUCGGAUGAAAAUCCGCCCCGUCGGAAUGUCUCGGAAUGGAAACAGCUGGUAAGCACGAGUGAAAAGCAAAUGAAACGUCGUCGGCUCGCUUGAGAGUAUCCGCAAAGGACGAUGGAGUUAAUGCGGCGUUGUUUCGCGGAGUGAUUCAAUUAAGAGACCGUUAAUUAAUUAAUGCGAGGAGGAGACGAAAUAGAAAUUUACCCAAGCCCUAGACUCCUCGAGCGUUCGCCAGGAGGAGGAGGAGGAGGAAGGGCAAAAAGCGGAAAGGAGAAAUGCUUGGUUUAACGUAACAAAGAGUUGAACAGCGAUGUAAAUGAAACUUGCGUGAAAUAUAUAUAAUUUCAACGUUUAUCGUCCUUGGAAAUGUAUAUCGUGUCAACUUUCAAGAAAAAUAAUUCUUCAAACGCUCGCGAGCAAUGGAAGCAAUAAGCAAAAUAAGAAGCAAAAAGAUCGAAAUAACGAAAAGUUUUCAAAUCUUCUUCACUCUCAAAGGGAAAUUUUUCAAAUUCUUAUCUAAAAUUAUCUAAAAUUCUUUCGAAAAACACGAUAACUAUAUAAAUUAACCAGAUAGCCGAAUAAAGAUUAAACGAUAUCAUUAAUCCCAAGUUACUAGCAGUUCCAAACCCUUAAGCAGACUAAAUCCACAUCGAGAAACGUUUCCUCUCGGUCUUACAGCUAGCCAAGAGGAAAUCCCUUCGAUUCCGGAAGAAAGGUCCAGCCAAGCAGCAUCAACUUCCAUCGCAAUUACGUGAAUUAAUUUUAACAGUUUUAAUCCGUGCCGACCAAGUUUCCGCUGCUUAAUCCUCGGUUCUGCCCCGGUGUGAAGCAUGGCUUUUCUAAGUAAAAGUUCUUCCCAACUUUUUGCGUUUCUACGAAGAAAAUAACGGGACCGGAAGAGACUGAGGAGAGGAUAAUUGAAGGAACGAGCGAGAGCGAAAGUGUCGAAGUCAUUUGCAAUUUUCUCCUUAAGUUCUUCUUUGACUGAAUUUCACUGAAAUAAAUUUUUUGUUAUUGAGAUAUCGUGUAUAAUUGUGAGAGAGAGAAAAAAUUAAAUUAUUAUUAGCAAUGGCUCGAUGAACUCUAUAUUUUUGCUAUAUUUAUGUUCGCAGAAGAAAUUGAAAAGUUUUCUUUAUUCAGACGGAAACAAAAUAUUUUUCUCCAUGGUAUAAACACGAAUAAAUAAAUAGUUAUCAUUAAACAAUUCCAAGCAUUAUGGAAUUUACCUGAAAAAAAAAAUAUCACAUUCUUUGGAGUUUAUUCAAGUAAAUAAGCUAUUAUUAUCUCUCUUACUUUUCGCAAAUAUUUCAAUACUAUUGUGCCACAAAAA